Long non-coding RNA from Gallus gallus (chicken), 1830 nucleotides. Lineage: Eukaryota; Metazoa; Chordata; Aves; Galliformes; Phasianidae. The record is from Ensembl.
CUUUCACAUAAUAGCAUGCAGCCUUUAUGCUGCUCAUAGCAAUUCAGUGUUUCUAUGGGCAUCGCACACCUCUCAUUACUGCCUUCAGAUGUGGCUGUACAGUAACCUCACCCUCUGCUGAGGGAGCUGCUCGUGUGUGGGGUUUCAGCGUGUUAGCAAUGCCUUCCAGCUUAUGGCAUCCCUGCAGAUCUGCCUUGCCUACUGCAGAGAGCUAAUAAUGAGUAAGCAUCCAAAAAUGAAUUGCUAUGCCUUGAUUUCAAUGUUAAUUUCUCCUCCUUACUGGAAACUAUUGCAGGCAUAAGAGAAUCUCAGCAGUCCCUGAUGUUGGCAUUGCAAACCUCCAGCUAUGCACUAGGAGUAUACUUCAUACCUGACAAUGAACGAGAGGAGGGGAGAAAACAGUUCCAAAGGAUAGGCUUUUUUCUAUAAAGCAUUUCCUUAACAAAUGCUGGGGGAGAAGUGGAUCCCACUGCUGGAAUUGGCUCCAGCACGACAGUGUAUGUCCCAGGGCUGACAGCUGUGACUGUGCCUCUCCAACAGUGUUCCUGGGGGUGGUUGCACGGGGUGCUGUGUGCCCCCUGCACCCGGGUAUCCUCUGAGAGCCAGGGGUGCUGUCAGAUCCCACUGCUUUCUCCCCACCCCAGCCAAGCUCCUAUUGCUGACUGUACCAUCACCUCUCGGGGGUCCCCAAGGAGAGGGGUAUUACAGAAGCUGUUCCCCGUGGCAGGAGCUGGCAUUUCACAUGGCCACAAAGUGAGAAGCCCAUCCCCAGGAGGCUGCCGAAGAGGAAAAGGAUGCUGACAAGUGCUCCUCACGCCGUGCCAACCUGAGCUGUGUUGCUGCGUGCCAUCACAGUCGGUGGGUAUCACGUCGGUCCCGGACUUUCUGCAAUAGAGAACAAGCUGGGUAAUACUCCAUGUCAACUCCAGAGUGCAGUGCUGUGUGUAUCCUCUUCGCCAGUGUUUCCCUUUAUCUGCUGAUGGCUUUGGGUUGCUCAUCUUCCAGGCUGAGUGCUCAGCACAACAGGACCAGAUCCCAGUGAGCUCCGCCUGCUUUACUCUGCGCUGGGCAUACGCAGGUCACACUGUGCAGCAGAAUUUAAGCUGUUUGAAUGAGUGUUAUUAACACAGAUAAUAAACGAGCCCAGAGCAUUAUGGGCAUUGCUUACCCAUCAUCUGGAACUUCCAGCCUUAAAAAACAUGAGAAGUUCUGUUGCUUUUUUUGUGUCACCAAUAACCUAUGAAGCAGAUAUUUUGUGUGAGGCUAUUUAGGGAGCUCCGUGGGCUGCUCCUGGGAGAUUUCAAGCCAACUGUUACAUGUCUCAGUAUUUCUGAUUUACUGGCUGGGACAAAAACAACGUACAGAAACCCACGAUUCAUUCCAUUUACUGCUACUUUUUUAAACACCAGUACUGCAGCUCACUGCUUCUGUGCCAUGAGCCCCAAGAGCACCUCUGAUUUCAAUUAAGAAGUGUUGUCUUUCCUGUGAAGAGAUGUCACCAACUUUGAAACUAUGGCAUUGCAACGUAGUAACAUGCACUGAGAGGCUGAGCGCUCUGCCACCCCACAGGUGAGGAAGGCAACGGCCUCAUCAUGGCCAAAAUUAUUCACGCCGCACAAACCCAGGAAGUAAACUGGGAGAUAAAGCACUGCACGCAGCAAAGGAAUGUCUGUUGGCAUUCAGAGCUGAAGGAGACAGCAUCUCAUGUCCUGCUCCUUCCCACCAGGAAGGUGAAGUGCAUGAAGUGGGGGAAGCAAAGGAGGAAGGAAUGGGGGGUGUGUGGGGACAGCUGCAGUUGGAUGUGGCUCUGCUGCUUUGCAGGAAGGUGAG